Etheostoma spectabile (orangethroat darter) is the source of this 73-nucleotide long non-coding RNA. RefSeq lists it as uncharacterized. The record is from RefSeq and is a predicted model, not a curated record. NCBI's taxonomy places the organism in Eukaryota, Metazoa, Chordata, Actinopteri, Perciformes, Percidae. The transcript is spliced from 3 exons.
UGUUUUUCAACCUCCAAGAUGAAUCUCUCGUAGUCCGUGGUGUUGUAGAGGAGACAUAAACAAUAUUGGUCUU